GAACGUGAGCACGUCGGAGUCCCGCGAGCAAGAGCGUCGCUCCGCCGCCUUCACGGCGGACGCCGCGGUCUUGCGCCCCCGUGCGUCUGGAGUAAAGAACGGCCCAGGUUUACGCUUCCCUCCCACGUGACUCGAGCGAGGCGGGCAAAGUCUCGCCGCAGGGUGAAUUCUUCCAGGAGGGGCAGCGAACGCUCGGCGACCGCCGCCUGAGUGCCUUCCCCGACGUGACGGCACCGGUGACGCUCGUCGACUCUGUCGGCCUCCACCCUAAACGAUGGUCGAAAUUAAAUCUACGGUAUGACUGCCCCGCAUGGUUGUGUGCAACCGAGUAAAUUUACUGCCAGUGAGUCUCCACUCAGAGUUUGGCUGGUAAAAUUGUUACGAUAACUAAUCUACAGUGUACAUUUGCAGAGGGAGGAUUUCGCCGCACUUCACUCAGCCAUAGGGGAAUGAGAAGAUUUGGGGGCAGGAGGCAGAAAGGAAACUGCGACUUGGGGCUUAGGAUGGGGAGUGUGGGAAAGGGCUGGGGGCCCUGGACAGCCUUGGCCUCCCCUAAAUGAACGGAAAUCACACGACAGGCGGAGUCGGGCCGGGUUCUUGUCCAGGGCGGGAAGCUUACCCUUGCUAAACUUCAACGCCCUCGUCUGCAGAAAGGGAAUCGUGCCAGGUGCCUGCCUCCUGUACCUUCCAGAAGUGCGUGCAGAUUACGUGAACGAGUUCACAGCGAGGUGUCUUUCUUUCGAGAGGCUUCUACACCUGCCGGUCCCUGGUCUAUUUCAGGGUGGAGCCGGGCUGCAGAGUGGCGGACGCACGUGGGACGGGCCCCUUGACAACUGACGCUUCUGCAGAAGUGAAGCCGGGGGUGCGGGUGUGAGAAGAGGCCCACCUAGGAAAGCGAGCAAGAGGGGAGGGCUGGCUACCGCCGCCUCCCACCAGCGCCUCGAAAUACGAAACACACGGCCUCAAUUUUAUGCAGGAACUGGAUGCCGACUGAUUGGUUAAAUCGAACAUUAGAGGCUUUGGAACGUGUAAAGUGAUUUCAGUCAACCACUGCUGUACCAUGGGAGACUGGAGCACAGAAGAGCUGAAUGACGUACCCACUGCAGGUUCCUUGGUCAAGGCUGGAACGACAGCCCGUACAUCUCGAUUCUUCGUCUUGGGCUUUUUCCGCUAUAAUCACGCUGCCCCCCUCCUUAGGUCAUAGACUCCUCAACGUUCUUUUAGACACAAGCCGUGGUAACAAUGGCACUAACAACAAAAGACCUGCGUCAGACUGGUUGAAACCGAGAAUCCGGUGGCUCACGCAACAACCUAGUCCAGAGGUAUCUCUGCCUUCAGGGACAGCUGGCUUUAGGGGUCUUAACAAUGUCAUCAGAACUGGCUCAUCUCCAGCCCUGUUUGGCUUUGUUUUCAGGCUCUACAGAUGAGCUAAAUGGCUGCCAAGUAAAGUCCUGACGUCACCUGAAGAUCUUGCCCUUCCCCCCCCCUCCCCCACAACAGGCCUUCCAAAGUUGCAGAUUGCAUGCCAUUGGGUCUGAUGGGAUCGGGCACCAUUUUGGAAAUAGUCACCGUGGCCAGAAGCUCCCCCGUUUGUGGUGCGUUCUGACAAUAAUCCCAGGAAACCAGUACAAAUUCGAGCCUGGCAACUGGUUUCGUAAACAACUAUUUGUUGACCUAAAUGGCGAUUAAAACCCAAGCUACCAAAUGAGCAAAGCGUUCCACAGCUUUCUGGAAUGACCCGUCACCAGCUUACGCCUUGUGUUAGCUACGAUAUGGAAUGAGCGCUUGGACGCUUCCCGGUGUCCCCAGAAA
Felis catus (domestic cat) is the source of this 1812-nucleotide long non-coding RNA. RefSeq lists it as uncharacterized. The record is from RefSeq and is a predicted model, not a curated record. NCBI's taxonomy places the organism in Eukaryota, Metazoa, Chordata, Mammalia, Carnivora, Felidae. The transcript is spliced from 4 exons.